UGUAUCAUAUAAAACUAUAACUAGGAGUUCAUUCUUCUAUUUUCCUGGAUUGUCACUAUAUGUUGCUAAGCAUCACUGAUGGAUUAUAAGAACUCACAAGGAUCAUUUUCAAAUCAACGAUCCUUGUUGGGGUGAGUUGGAAUCGUUCCAGCCCAUCGAAAAUAGUUUCAAUGAUAAUGUAAUGGAGAUCACGGUAUAUCUCACUAUCAGAUAGAAUAGAACCUGAGGGGUUACAUACAAAAAGAGCUUGACUUGAUCAAUAGCUUAGAUCAAAUUCAAAUUAUCAAUUUAAUUGAUAGUUUAAAUUUAGAAACUACUAAUUUAUAAGUGUUACAAAUUCAGUAACUGCUAAUUGUUACCACAGGACUUAAUUAUAAAUAUUAUAAUUUAAUUAGGACAGAUUAAAUUUUAGAUCAAAUCUUAAUUAAUUUAAAUCAAAUUUAAUUUAAUUAGACUUGAUUUAAUUUAAUGCUAAUUUGAUUUAAUUAUCUAAAUUAGAUUUGAAUUUCAAUCCUGAUUAGAUCAGGCUUGAUAGCCUUUCGAAUUCGAUUUGAUUGGGGCUCAAUUUAAACUUAAUUUGGAUCCAAUUUGAAUCAAAUUGACCCUGACCCUUUAAGCCCAGGUUCUCUGGGCUUCUCUCUCAAAGUGGCUGACAAGAAAAGAGAUAGGGCAGUGAUUUUUCUCGUAGGUUUUUCUUUGAUGUGUGUGAAGGGGUGUGGAGAGGUUGUUACAUGAUUUCUUGAUUAGUUAGGAUGCCUAUCUAGAUAGGGAUUGAGCCUAACUAAUUCAAGCUAAUUCUAAUCUAAUUAAAGUUGAUUUUUGGCAUGGAAACUACCUCUAAUUUAUGCGACAAAAUAAAAGAGGGGAGUUGUGGCAUGCGAUAUUUUUAAGAGAGUUCCUUUUCUUUCUUGCCACAAGCCUAUGUUCCACGCCCUCUUCCCUCCUUUUUCUCCCUUCCAUGCCCUGGUUCUUCCUAUUCCAGAUCAGAUCUGAGAGAAGGGAGGCCUUAGAGAGAGAAGAAAAAUAAUCAAGGAGUUCUUAAUUAGUUUUGGUGUUAGGAUUAGUCCCCAAGAUCCUAUAUAAGGCUAUUUCAAGUAAAUUCAAGUAAAAGGUCCCAAUCCAAGCCAAGAAAUGAAGCCUGUAAGGAUGCUAGCAUAUCGAUGGCUUCAGAGUUCUGAUCAGAAUCAUCUCUACAUGGAUACUAAUAGAUGCCGGACACUUGAGCUGCUCAGAUAUGAAUCUUAGACAUCUAUAGGAUCCGAUCUGAGGAAGAAAAAGGAAAAGCAUUCAGGUAUAAUUUUUCUUUCCUAUUUUAUGAUUUUAGAUCUAUAUCUUAAAUUUAUUUAUACAUGUUAGACAAUCCUAGGUGUGAUUUAGAUUUUGAAUCUGCAUGCUUAGAUGUAAAAAUUAUUUUUGUAUCUGCUUCCAUUGUGAUUGGGGUAAUCAAAAAAUUUUUGCAUGCAAAUCACCCUGAAAACCAAUAUAAUAUACCAACGCAUAAUUUCUACUAAUAGAAUAUCGAUGUACCAAUUUAUAAACCCACUAGUAGGGUGUCGAUAUACUAGUACCCAAUCUCUACUAGUAGAAUGCCAAUAUAUCAGCACAC
Molecule: long non-coding RNA, 1606 nt
Filed under: Elaeis guineensis (African oil palm)
Lineage: Eukaryota; Viridiplantae; Streptophyta; Magnoliopsida; Arecales; Arecaceae
Description: long non-coding RNA (EGUI_LNC049155)
Source: RNAcentral